GGAGGUGUGGCUCAGUGGUUGAGCACCUGCCUAGGAAGCAUGAGACUUUGAGUUCAAACUUCAGUACCACCA
This 72-nucleotide transfer RNA is filed under the name Dipodomys ordii (Ord's kangaroo rat). It matches the Rfam family "tRNA". From Rfam's summary of the family: Transfer RNA (tRNA) molecules are approximately 80 nucleotides in length. Their secondary structure includes four short double-helical elements and three loops (D, anti-codon, and T loops). Further hydrogen bonds mediate the characteristic L-shaped molecular structure. tRNAs have two regions of fundamental functional importance: the anti-codon, which is responsible for specific mRNA codon recognition, and the 3' end, to which the tRNAs corresponding amino acid is attached (by aminoacyl-tRNA synthetases). tRNAs cope with the degeneracy of the genetic code in two manners: having more than one tRNA (with a specific anti-codon) for a particular amino acid; and 'wobble' base-pairing, i.e. permitting non-standard base-pairing at the 3rd anti-codon position. Lineage: Eukaryota; Metazoa; Chordata; Mammalia; Rodentia; Heteromyidae. The record is from Rfam by way of RNAcentral.